RNAcentral lists this unclassified non-coding RNA (212 nucleotides) under plant metagenome. RNAcentral's name for it is "partial contains small subunit ribosomal RNA, internal transcribed spacer 1, and 5.8S ribosomal RNA". The record is from RNAcentral.
UCUCCGUAGGUGAACCUGCGGAGGGAUCACUACAGGCUUGCAAAAGCUCUGACACCACUGUUUAUCUACCUGAAUCCGCUUCGGCGGGCGGCCCAGGGCGGGGCCGUAGCCGCAAGGCGCCGGCCGAAGACCCCUAAACUCUGCCGUCUUGAGAAUCUCUGAGUAAUUAUAUUAAACAAAAACAACUUUCAACAACGGAUCUCUUGGCUCUG